Molecule: ribosomal RNA, 253 nt
Filed under: uncultured bacterium
Lineage: Bacteria
Description: partial 16S ribosomal RNA
Rfam family: Bacterial small subunit ribosomal RNA
Source: RNAcentral
UACGUAGGGUCCGAGCGUUGUCCGGAAUUACUGGGCGUAAAGAGCUCGUAGGCGGUUUGUCGCGUCUGCUGUGAAAACCCGAGGCUCAACCUCGGGCCUGCAGUGGGUACGGGCAGACUAGAGUGCGGUAGGGGAGAUUGGAAUUCCUGGUGUAGCGGUGGAAUGCGCAGAUAUCAGGAGGAACACCAAUGGCGAAGGCAGAUCUCUGGGCCGCAACUGACGCUGAGGAGCGAAAGCAUGGGGAGCGAACAGG